AACGAACGCUGGCGGCAGGCUUAACACAUGCAAGUCGAGCGAAGACUUCGGUCUUAGCGGCGGACGGGUGAGUAACACGUGAGCAAUCUGCCCUUCUCUUUGGAAUAACCAUUGGAAACGAUGGCUAAUGCCGAAUAUGAACCCCUUUCGCAUGUUGGGGGUUGGAAAGCUCCGGCGGAGAAGGAUGAGCUCGCGGCCUAUCAGCUUGUUGGUGAGGUAAUGGCUCACCAAGGCAUUGACGGGUAGCCGGCCUGAGAGGGUGACCGGCCACACUGGGACUGAGACACGGCCCAGACUCCUACGGGAGGCAGCAGUGGGGAAUAUUGGACAAUGGGCGAAAGCCUGAUCCAGCAACGCCGCGUGAGGGAUGACGGCCUUCGGGUUGUAAACCUCUUUCAGCAGGGACGAAGCGAAAGUGACGGUACCUGCAGAAGAAGGACCGGCCAACUACGUGCCAGCCGCCGCAGUAAAAC
RNAcentral lists this ribosomal RNA (473 nucleotides) under uncultured bacterium. RNAcentral describes it as "bacterial SSU rRNA". It matches the Rfam family "Bacterial small subunit ribosomal RNA", at positions 29 to 526 of the family's 1533-position model. The record is from RNAcentral.